GACGAACGCUGGCGGCGUGCUUAACACAUGCAAGUCGAACGGAAAGGCCUCUUUCUGGGGGUACUCGAGUGGCGAACGGGUGUGUAACACGUGAGUAACCUGCCCUUUACUUUGUGUUAACUUCUGUAAACUUUGUCUAAUACCUGAUAUGAGCUCCUUCUGCCUGGUUGGGGUUGUAAAGUUUCUGGGGUUUGGGUUGGACUCGCGGCGUUUCUGCUUGUUGGUGGGGUAGUGGCUUUCCAAGGCUUUGACGGGUAGCCUGACUGAGUCGGUGACCGGCCAAAUUGGGACUGAGAUAAGGCCCAGACUCCGAAGGGAGGAAGCAGUGGGGAAUAUUGGAGAAUGGGUGGAAGCCUGAUGCAGAAAAGCCGGGUGCGGGAGGACGGACUUCGGGUUGUAAACCGAUUUCGCUCAUGACGAAGCUUUGUGUGACGGUAGUGGGUAAAGAAGCACCGGCUAACUACGUG
Molecule: ribosomal RNA, 467 nt
Filed under: uncultured bacterium
Lineage: Bacteria
Description: partial 16S ribosomal RNA
Rfam family: Bacterial small subunit ribosomal RNA
Source: RNAcentral